RNAcentral lists this long non-coding RNA (775 nucleotides) under Medicago truncatula (barrel medic). Its description in RNAcentral is "long non-coding RNA (MTRU_LNC005216)". The record is from RNAcentral. Lineage: Eukaryota; Viridiplantae; Streptophyta; Magnoliopsida; Fabales; Fabaceae.
GUUAGGAUCCGUUGACACCAGAUGUCAACGGAUUCGUUGACACCAAAUAUCAAUCAUUCAUUUUAUUUAAUCAAAAGAUAAUAAUUGUAUCCAUAUGCUAUUUCCUGUGCAUUCUUUUUCUCAAUCACACACUAUUAUUGUUACCAUUCCAUCUCCUUUAACGCAACAAAGAUCAUCUCAAUUACCGAAACAUAAUCACCUUUGCUAUUCUUGUCUCUCUCUAAUUUUUUUAUUUGAUAAAUUAUCCCUGCUCUCUGUAUCCCACGAUAUAGAAAACAACCAGAUUUUAUUCUUUGCUCAAAGGGUUUAAAAACCUAGAAAGCAUUUUUUGAGUUAAUUGUCAAUGGAUGAAAUAUCCAGAAAUCUAAUUAGAAAAAGUGUCGAUUGAUGUGUGUCUGCUAAAUAUUGAUUUUAUCUAUCAAGAUUCAAAAGCAAUCCAACCUUACCGUGAUCCCCUUUUCGACAAAUUUAUGUCAAUUCUUCCUAUAAUAUAACUCUUGAAUAUGAAUUUUACAAUCACCUGUUAUAAACAUCCAUUUGAAAUCGAUUAAAAAACCCUACAUCUCAUGAUAAUUUGUCUACUUGAAAUCAACAAAGAAAAUUAUCCUGCUUACCUCCAUUAACCUUUGUCAAUACAAUAAUCCAUAAAAAUAAAUUGCACUUAAUAUCAUAAAGAACGAGAUUUAUUUGCCAAAAAUAAAAUAAAAGUAAAAAGCAAAAUUAAAGCACACCAAAAGAGUCCACUAUUACUUAAUGUGAGUAAUUAUGAGCCUUU